RNAcentral lists this ribosomal RNA (441 nucleotides) under uncultured bacterium. RNAcentral describes it as "partial 16S ribosomal RNA". It matches the Rfam family "Bacterial small subunit ribosomal RNA", at positions 338 to 795 of the family's 1533-position model. The record is from RNAcentral.
CCUACGGGGGGCAGCAGUGGGGGAUAUUGCACAAUGGGGGGAACCCUGAUGCAGCGACGCCGCGUGGGUGAAGGAGCGUUUCGGCGCGUAAAGCCCUAUCGGCAGGGAAGAAGGAGGACGGUACCUGACUAAGAAGCCCCGGCUAACUACGUGCCAGCAGCCGCGGUAAUACGGAGGGGGCAAGCGUUAUCCGGAUUUACUGGGGGUAAAGGGGGCGCAGACGGCAGCGCAAGCCAGGAGUGAAAGCCCGGGGCCCAACCCCGGGACUGCGCUUGGAACUGCGCGGCGGGAGUGCAGGAGGGGCAGGCGGAAGUCGUGGGGUAGGGGGGAAAUGCGUAGAUAUGAGGAGGAACGCCGGUGGCGAAGGCGGCCUGCUGGACUGCGAGUGACGUUGAGGCCCGAAAGCGUGGGGAGCAAACAGGAUUAGAUACCCGUGUAGUC